CUAGGGAAGCAUUCUUUUUUGCUCAUCGUGAUUUCUGUGUGAUUCCUCCUGUUUUCUGAGCCUGUCACCCCCUUCCUCUUCCCUUGCCUCUCCACUGGGACUUUCCAGAGUGCAGCCACCUCCCCUCGCUGUGCUUCUGUGACUCUGAGGCCCAGGAGGAAGUUGCCCUGUUCUGGAGAGGGUUCACGUUUGAUCCAGCCUAGUGUUCUGGGGCACGGCCAGUCUGGGACCGCUUUGACCCUCAUUCACGGUUUCCCUUCAGAUACUUCUUGUUUGGCCUGCCUUCCUCGUCUAGGAAAUGGAUUUUUCUCAUUUUUCUAUUGAGUCACUUGUUUUGUUGGUAUGGAGUUGUAGGAGGUGUUUCUGAAUUCUGCCUCAAACCCCAUGUUGGUUUUUUGUAUUUCAGAGACCUCGUCCGCUCAGGGGCUUGUUCUUCGUCUCUUUGCAGGGCUGUUUUGGACUCAGUAUUCACCUAAGCACUCCGAAUUACCCAGCACACCCUGCCUGCGCAGCUCUGUGCUGCACCUUCACUCUAGUCACGGGUGUAGCGGUCAGCUCACCAAUUCCUCCUGCUUCCCUGGGACUCGCCGGCUUUUAGCACUGCAAGUCCCUCAGCAAACUGGGACUGUUGAUCACCCUCCCUGGCAGCCAGUGAUAAGGACUUGUGUCAUUGGCAUGACAGACCUGCCUUGGCUGAGCGUUCAACUGUCUUUGGAGUUCAGCCACCUUAGCAAGUCCUGGGUUUGUUCUUCAGACUUUGCUGCUUGCCCAUUGCCUGGGUCGGGAGCUACUUUGUAAACUACCAGGAAGACUCCAGUGUUUCUGCUUAAUUUUUAGAUGUUUGUUAAUUGCCCUUGGCCUCUCAUUAAUCCCCGUGGGUCACUCAGGAAACAUACCACUGUCCAUUCCCUGAGUUUUCAUUUCCAGGCAUCUGCCCUGCCUGGAUCUCGUCGCCUUCCAGGAACUUCCUCUUCACAAGCCGGCCAUCCCGGCAAAAGUUCUAACAUCAAAGGUCUAGCAACGAGCCUGCCAUCUUGUCCCUAGAGCCACCUGAGUGCCCCAUGUCCCCGAAGAUGGGAACCUCGUUGCCAGUUGGGCAGAUGCAGGACAAUCCUGUACCAAGACCCCAUCUUACCACCUGUUUUCUCGGACCACUCUGGAACCCACUGUCUCAGAUUGGGUCCUCCAGGAAGCAGACUGUGAGAGGGAGUUGGCAGGACCAAAGGUUUACCGGGGCUAACUAACCCUCAGGAAAGGGACAGGAAGGAAGCAGGGCUGGAGAGCAGGUUGAGCCCGACCUGACAGUCUUGAGCAGCCCAGCAGGGAGGUGUGGAGCAAGGGUUGCCCACUAGAGGGGCCUGCAUUGGGCAUGGGUGGUGGGGUCCACAUGGUACCUGGCACACAGCAGGCUGUGCAAUCCAUAUUAACUGCCUGGAUGAAUUAAUGCCCAGGAAAGGUGCCCUGGAGAACGGGUAUGUGCUGAGCACAAUAGGGAAGGGCCCAGCAUCUGCCUUGGCAUAGGCAGAACUGUGCUGUGCCCUGCAACAGGCCACCCGAGAGCUGCUUUCAUCUCGUGUGUGCAUUAGACAACUGCCAGGGGCAUGAAGGGGAUGUGCCUCCAGGGCAUUUGCUGGUAGGGCGUCUCGUGAUCUCUUGGUAUUGGUGUGAGCACAGCCUGGCAGGAGAGGGCGGAUCUCAGUGCAAAGUAUCAUGUCAAAAAGCAGAUUGAAGCCAGGCCCCCUCCUGGAAGAGGCUCCUUGAAGGUAGGUGCACACUCAUGUCUUUGUUACUUGUAAGG
Long non-coding RNA from Piliocolobus tephrosceles (Ugandan red Colobus), 1798 nucleotides. The record is from Ensembl. Lineage: Eukaryota; Metazoa; Chordata; Mammalia; Primates; Cercopithecidae.